CUGCGGAAGAUCAUUGU
This 17-nucleotide ribosomal RNA is filed under the name Lycium andersonii. RNAcentral describes it as "partial 18S ribosomal RNA". The record is from RNAcentral. RNAcentral also lists the same sequence under 1 other name. Lineage: Eukaryota; Viridiplantae; Streptophyta; Magnoliopsida; Solanales; Solanaceae.